ACUACGCCUUGAGAAGGGCGCGCUGGGC
RNAcentral lists this small RNA (28 nucleotides) under Bombyx mori (domestic silkworm). Its description in RNAcentral is "ovarian small RNA-11636". Lineage: Eukaryota; Metazoa; Arthropoda; Insecta; Lepidoptera; Bombycidae. The record is from RNAcentral.